This 322-nucleotide long non-coding RNA is filed under the name Elaeis guineensis (African oil palm). RNAcentral describes it as "long non-coding RNA (EGUI_LNC014309)". Lineage: Eukaryota; Viridiplantae; Streptophyta; Magnoliopsida; Arecales; Arecaceae. The record is from RNAcentral.
CUGAAAUUGUACCAUCAGUGAAUUCUGUAUGUCCUUGUUUGGAAUACAACUCAAUUUUAAAACCUCAGAGUCAACAAAGUUCGGCUCUCCACUGCGGGUCGGCCCUCGUCAGAAGUACGAACCCCGACGCCCCGACUUGGGCCCAACAUUUCAUUGGAAACCUAUGGCCCGAUCGUCGAUGAUACAUCGAACUCUUACGAGAACCGUUCUGCCUACACUAAUGAAAGGCCAGCGAUAGCGAUAAAACCUCUCUAAGUUGAAGCCGUGCUUCAUCCACAAUCGACUCUCGGUCAGCGUAGCUGGCUAACUUGCCAACUUGGCU